RNAcentral lists this transfer RNA (75 nucleotides) under Blastochloris viridis. Its description in RNAcentral is "tRNA-Glu". It matches the Rfam family "tRNA". From Rfam's summary of the family: Transfer RNA (tRNA) molecules are approximately 80 nucleotides in length. Their secondary structure includes four short double-helical elements and three loops (D, anti-codon, and T loops). Further hydrogen bonds mediate the characteristic L-shaped molecular structure. tRNAs have two regions of fundamental functional importance: the anti-codon, which is responsible for specific mRNA codon recognition, and the 3' end, to which the tRNAs corresponding amino acid is attached (by aminoacyl-tRNA synthetases). tRNAs cope with the degeneracy of the genetic code in two manners: having more than one tRNA (with a specific anti-codon) for a particular amino acid; and 'wobble' base-pairing, i.e. permitting non-standard base-pairing at the 3rd anti-codon position. Lineage: Bacteria; Pseudomonadati; Pseudomonadota; Alphaproteobacteria; Hyphomicrobiales; Blastochloridaceae. The record is from RNAcentral.
GUCCCCUUCGUCUAGCGGUUAGGACGUCACCCUUUCACGGUGAAAACAGGGGUUCGAUUCCCCUAGGGGAUGCCA